UCUAGAACGCAACCUGCUGAGCAGGUUAGCCGUGUAGUGUACAUUACUAUGGAGAAGAACACCGCUAAAAGCAGACCAACUUUCAUGGUACCUAAAAACCUUGGGUUGAGGUAAACUAAUCUAAACUUACCUGUCUAGUCAACGAAACCGGCUUCAUGGUACAGGCAUCUGCAGGACAAUUCAGCGAAAUUUGAGCACUCCUAGUGACAUUGAACCCCUUGACGAGGAGGAGGAGGAGGAAGAGGAGGACCAUUGGUUUCCUAAUCCAAACACAGAGGAAGAAGCUCCGUUAAUGGAGAGCAGAGCAAAAGAGGCGAGAGUGGUUUUAUACAGGCAUCGUGAGUGUUUGCUGCAUGGUGACUCAGUGACCUACUUGAUAAUUAUUUCUGUUCUUAUUGUUUUGUUUUUUUUUCUCUUUUGUGUCAAAACAAAGAUCGAACCAGAGUUUUGGGGCACUGCAUGACCAAGAUUAUCUGGAAAUGUCACCUUCAACGGAAGAGCAGCUGAGUGCAGCACAGAAGGAAAUUGCUCGUAUGACAGAAGAAAAUUAAAAUUUAAGAAGUCAGAAGUUUUGUCUCCAGUGCUUCCAAUGUGAGCCCAAGCUGAUCAUGUUUUACACAGGAUUUAAAGAUAAUGACACCCUCAAAACACUCUACCCAUCUCUUCAACCUACAGCAGAGUCUUUGAUGAGAUGGACUUAGAUGCAAAGACUAAGUAAAACAGAACAGAUGGUAACAGCUAGCUUCCAUGCUCAAGACAAUUGCCUCUUUGACCAAGAAAUUGCACACACACAAGAGAUUGCUUGCUUGAGUAUAUACAUGGAGAGAGCAAUCAGACGGAUCAAAGAGUAUCACAUUUUUGAUGGUUUCCUACCCUUUUCAUUAUGUAGUACCGUCAAACAUGUGGACUGACAGCAGUCUCCUUGACAAUGAUGAUUUCAAGCUUGAUUACACUUCCAAAAGCACCAUCUAGUGCUCUGCAUAUGUGUCAAGUACUGGAAAUUGUAAUCGUGCUUGAAAUCAUCAAUGUCAAGGAGACUGCUGUCAAGAUGUACAGUAAAAUAAGAGUUACAUUCUGUUCUGUUCUCACCCAAAACCACCUGGAUCACUUCAGAUUACAUUGAUUAACCAAUUGUAGUCUUAUGGAUUACUUUGAUGCUGCCUUUAUCUGCUUUUUGGAGCUUCAAAAUUCUGGACACCAUUCACUUGAAUUUUAUGGACCUACAGAGCUGAAAUAUUAUAAUAAAAAUCUUCCUUUGUGCUCUGCAGAAGAAAGAAAGUCAUACACAUCUUAAAUGGUAUGGUAGUGAGUAAAUGAUGUCAGAAUUUUCAUUUUUCAAUUAACUAUCCUUUGAACAAGACUGUCAAUAGUUUCUUAGAAUAUUUUUAUUACAAAAGGCAUAUGUCACAUAUGUGACAUAUGCCUUGUAUGUGGAUAGACAAUGUACACAGAAAUGCAUUUCUAAAUAAAACAAUAUUUUUGUACCCAUUUUCAUUCAUUGCUAUUAAUGUUAACUGUAAAAAAUUGUUAUAGAAUAUACACCAAUCAGCAACAACAUUAAAACCACCUGCCUAAUAUUGUGUAGGUCCCCCUCGUGCUGGCAAAACAGAGCCAACCCGCAUCUCAGAAUGGCAUUCUGAGAUGCUAUUCUUCUCACAACAAUUGUACAGAGCGGUUAUCUGAGUUACCGUAGACUUUGUCAGUUCGAACCAAUCUGGCUAUUCUCUGUUGACCUCUCUCAUCAACAAGGCAUUUACAUCCACAGAAUUGCUGCUCACUGGAUGUUUUUUUGUUUUCGGCAUCAUUCUGAGUAAAUUCUAGAGACUGUUGUGUGUGAAAA
Molecule: long non-coding RNA, 1840 nt
Organism: Myxocyprinus asiaticus (Chinese sucker)
Lineage: Eukaryota; Metazoa; Chordata; Actinopteri; Cypriniformes; Catostomidae
Exons: 3
Source: RefSeq, a predicted model, not a curated record